UAGAGUUUGAUCCUGGCUCAGAACGAACGCUGGCGGCGUGCUUAACACAUGCAAGUCGAGUGCGCGCCUGUAGCAAUACAGGUGGCGCACGGCGCACGGGUGCGUAACACGUGGGUAACCUGCCCUUUAGUGGGGAAUAACCCCGGGAAACCGGGGCUAAUACCGCAUAAGAUCCGCAAGGAUGAAAGCCGUAAGGCGCUGAUGGAGGGGCCCGCGCACGAUUAGCUAGUUGGUAGGGUAACGGCCUACCAAGGCUAUGAUCGUUAGCUGGUCUGAGAGGACGGCCAGCCACACUGGAACUGAGACACGGUCCAGACUCCUACGGGAGGCAGCAGUGGGGAAUCUUGCACAAUGGGCGAAAGCCUGAUGCAGCGACGCCGCGUGGGGGAUGAAGCUUCUCGGAGUGUAAACCCCUUUCGACCCGGACGAA
Molecule: ribosomal RNA, 430 nt
Filed under: uncultured bacterium
Lineage: Bacteria
Description: bacterial SSU rRNA
Rfam family: Bacterial small subunit ribosomal RNA
Source: RNAcentral